RNAcentral lists this ribosomal RNA (500 nucleotides) under uncultured bacterium. RNAcentral describes it as "partial 16S ribosomal RNA". It matches the Rfam family "Bacterial small subunit ribosomal RNA", at positions 30 to 523 of the family's 1533-position model. The record is from RNAcentral.
AUUGAACGCUAGCGGGAUGCCUUACACAUGCAAGUCGAACGGCAGCGCGGACUUCGGUCUGGCGGCGAGUGGCGAACGGGUGAGUAAUGUAUCGGAACGUGCCCAGUAGCGGGGGAUAACUACUCGAAAGAGUAGCUAAUACCGCAUACGCCCUACGGGGGAAAGGGGGGGAUCGCAAGACCUCUCACUAUUGGAGCGGCCGAUAUCGGAUUAGCUAGUUGGUGAGGUAAAGGCUCACCAAGGCGACGAUCCGUAGCUGGUUUGAGAGGACGACCAGCCACACUGGGACUGGGAAACGGCCCAGACUCCUACGGGAGGCAGCAGUGGGGAAUUUUGGACAAUGGGGGAAACCCUGAUCCAGCCAUUCCGCGUGUGCGAUGAAGGCCUUCGGGUUGUAAAGCACUUUUGGCAGGAAAGAAAUCGCAUCAAUUAAUACUUGGUGUGGAUGACGGUACCUGCAGAAUAAGCACCGGCUAACUACGUGCCAGCAGCCGCCGUAA